AUUGAACGCUGGCGGCAUGCCUUACACAUGCAAGUCGAACGGCAGCACGGGUGCUUGCACCUGGUGGCGAGUGGCGAACGGGUGAGUAAAGUAUCGGAACGUGCCUGGUAGUGGGGGAUAACUAGUCGAAAGACUAGCUAAUACCGCAUACGAUCUAAGGAUGAAAGCAGGGGACCUUCGGGCCUUGUGCUAUCAGAGCGGCCGAUAUCUGAUUAGCUAGUUGGUGGGGUAAAAGCCCACCAAGGCGACGAUCAGUAGCUGGUCUGAGAGGACGACCAGCCACACUGGAACUGAGACACGGUCCAGACUCCUACGGGAGGCAGCAGUGGGGAAUUUUGGACAAUGGGGGCAACCCUGAUCCAGCAAUGCCGCGUGAGUGAAGAAGGCCCUCGGGUUGUAAAGCUCUUUUGUCAGGGAAGAAAAGGCUGUGGCUAAUAUCCACAGCUGCUGACGGUACCUGAAGAAUGAGCACCGGCUAACUACGUGCCAGCAGCCGCCGUAA
Molecule: ribosomal RNA, 502 nt
Filed under: uncultured bacterium
Lineage: Bacteria
Description: partial 16S ribosomal RNA
Rfam family: Bacterial small subunit ribosomal RNA
Source: RNAcentral